AAAUCUAAAAACUUUUGGUUAAGUGCUGAAAUCUAAAACUUUUGGUUACAUGCUGAAAUCUAAAAACUUUCCAGGUGGUUGCUAAGGUGUUGCUAUAGUAUCUGGGGUGGUUGCUGAGGUGUUGCUAGGUGGUUGCUAAGGUGUUGCUAUGGUAUCCAGGGUGGUUGCUAAGGUGUUGCUAGGUGGUUGCUAAGGUGUUGCUAUGGUAUCCAGGGUGGUUGCUAAGGUGUUGCUAGGUGGUUGCUAAGGUGUUGCUAUGGUUUCUGUGGUGGUUGCUAAGGUGUUGCUAGGUGGUUGCUAAGGUGUUGCUAUGGUAUCCGGGUGGUUGCUAAGGUGUUGCUAGGUGGUUGCUAAGGUGUUGCUAGGCGGUUGCUAAGGUGUUGCUAUGGUAU
This is a long non-coding RNA of Astyanax mexicanus (Mexican tetra), 392 nucleotides long. RefSeq lists it as uncharacterized. The record is from RefSeq and is a predicted model, not a curated record. The transcript has 3 exons. Lineage: Eukaryota; Metazoa; Chordata; Actinopteri; Characiformes; Acestrorhamphidae.